GGACGGGUGAGUAAUGCCUAGGAAUCUGCCUGGUAGUGGGGGAUAACGUUCCGAAAGGAACGCUAAUACCGCAUACGUCCUACGGGAGAAAGCAGGGGACCUUCGGGCCUUGCGCUAUCAGAUGAGCCUAGGUCGGAUUAGCUAGUUGGUGAGGUAAUGGCCCACCAAGGCGACGAUCCGUAACUGGUCUGAGAGGAUGAUCAGUCACACUGGAACUGAGACACGGUCCAGACUCCUACGGGAGGCAGCAGUGGGGAAUAUUGGACAAUGGGCGAAAGCCUGAUCCAGCCAUGCCGCGUGUGUGAAGAAGGUCUUCGGAUUGUAAAGCACUUUAAGUUGGGAGGAAGGGCAUUAACCUAAUACGUUAGUGUUUUGACGUUACCGACAGAAUAAGCACCGGCUAACUUCGUGCCAGCAGCCGCGGUAAUACGAAGGGUGCAAGCGUUAAUCGGAAUUACUGGGCGUAAAGCGCGCGUAGGUGGUUCGUUAAGUUGGAUGUGA
This 501-nucleotide ribosomal RNA is filed under the name Pseudomonas sp. WH384. RNAcentral's name for it is "bacterial SSU rRNA". It matches the Rfam family "Bacterial small subunit ribosomal RNA", at positions 100 to 597 of the family's 1533-position model. The record is from RNAcentral. Lineage: Bacteria; Pseudomonadati; Pseudomonadota; Gammaproteobacteria; Pseudomonadales; Pseudomonadaceae.